CAGGUUGUGCGUCUUUCCCCACGUGAGUCCACAUUCUUUUCUACCCUAGGAUUACUACUGGCACAGAGGAAGUUGAACCACUGUCCCCCUUUGGUUGGAUGUUUGCAAUACUUCUGCUUUUAUACUGCAACAAACAAUACUUGUGCUUUCCCUCCAUCUAGCACUGUGCCUCCAGGAGAGAGGGUUUUUUUCUGGUCGCCCCUGCAGACAUGACCCUGCUUGUCCCUGGCCAAUCCCAGGGCCAGACUGGAUUGUUGGCCCUCUGACUCACCCUAGAAGGCCUGGGGCUGGAGAGGCCUGGAACUCCUCGGAGAAGCCAAAGAUUUUGCAGAAUCAAGGAUGGAUGGAGUAUCAAAAUAAGGAACGGAAAAAACUGAAGAUAUACUAAGGAUUAAGGCCCAGGUUCAUCUAGUGUCCCCAGGUGCCAGGCAUUGUGCUGUGACUGUGAUGUGAAAAAAGAGGCCAGGACAACUGAGUUGAGUGCUCCAAACAGAAUCAAACUCCAAUGAAUAACAAGUAAUUUUGGAAUGUUUUACAUCAUGAUGGAACUGCUGUUUAGAUGCAGGAAAACAAGCUCCAGGCUCCCACUGAUUCUACAUGAUGGUGAGUUG
Molecule: long non-coding RNA, 611 nt
Filed under: Homo sapiens (human)
Lineage: Eukaryota; Metazoa; Chordata; Mammalia; Primates; Hominidae
Description: HSALNT0311859
Source: RNAcentral